UACGUAGGUGACAAGCGUUGUCCGGAUUUACUGGGCGUAAAGAGCGCGCAGGCGGUCGAUCAAGUCGAGUGUGAAAGCCCCCGGCUCAACUGGGGAGGGUCAUUCGAUACUGAUCGACUCGAAGGCAGGAGAGGGUAGUGGAAUUCCCGGUGUAGUGGUGGAAUGCGUAGAUAUCGGGAGGAACACCAGUGGCGAAGGCGGUUGCCUGGAGCUUUGCUGACGCUGAGGCGCGAAAGCGUGGGGAGCGAUCCGG
RNAcentral lists this ribosomal RNA (253 nucleotides) under uncultured bacterium. RNAcentral's name for it is "partial 16S ribosomal RNA". It matches the Rfam family "Bacterial small subunit ribosomal RNA", at positions 524 to 776 of the family's 1533-position model. The record is from RNAcentral.